Molecule: transfer RNA, 90 nt
Filed under: Gammaproteobacteria bacterium HGW-Gammaproteobacteria-1
Lineage: Bacteria; Pseudomonadati; Pseudomonadota; Gammaproteobacteria
Description: tRNA-Ser
Rfam family: tRNA
About the family: Transfer RNA (tRNA) molecules are approximately 80 nucleotides in length.
Source: RNAcentral
GGAGAGGUGCCGGAGUGGCUAAACGGGCCUGCCUCGAAAGCAGUGAGCUGCGCAAGCGGCGCGCGAGUUCAAAUCUCGCCCUCUCCGCCA